GUCAGUAUUGACGCUGAGGCACGAGAGCGUGGGGAGCGAACAGGAUUAGAUACCCUGGUAGUCCACGCUGUAAACGAUGUAUGCUAGUUGUUGGGCUUUCGGGCUCAGUGACGCAGUUAACGCAGUAAGCAUACCACCUGGGGAGUACGUUCGCAAGAAUGAAACUCAAAGGAAUUGACGGGGGCCCGCACAAGCGGUGGAGCAUGUGGCUUAAUUCGAUGCAACGCGAAGAACCUUACCCGGGCUAAAUCCACGAUGACCGGUCCCGAAACGGACCUUCCCUUCGGGGCAUCAUGGAAGGUGCUGCAUGGCUGUCGUCAGCUCGUGCCGUGAGGUGUUGCCUUAAGUGGCGCAACGAGCGCAACCCCUGUGGUUAGUUACCAGCACGUAAUGGUGGGGACUCUAGCCAGACUGCCUACGCAAGUAGUGAGGAAGGUGGGGACGACGUCAAGUCAUCAUGGCCCUUAUGUCCGGGGCUGCACACGUGCUACAAUGGAUGGUACAGAGGGACGCCACCCCGCAAGGGGGCGCAGAUCUCGAAAGCCAUUCCCAGUUCGGAUUGGAGUCUGCAACUCGACUCCAUGAAGGUGGAAUCGCUAGUAAUCGCGUAUCAGCAAUGACGCGGUGAAUACGUUCCCGGGCCUUGUACACACCGCCCGUCAAGCGAUGGAAGUCAGGAGUACCUAAAGUUGCCGUUCAACGCGGUACCUAGGGU
This 715-nucleotide ribosomal RNA is filed under the name uncultured bacterium. RNAcentral's name for it is "bacterial SSU rRNA". It matches the Rfam family "Bacterial small subunit ribosomal RNA", at positions 733 to 1463 of the family's 1533-position model. The record is from RNAcentral.